CCUCCCCCUGCCGCGGGAGGCUCUGGCAUCCCAGGAGUGCCGUGGCGUCUUGAUCAAUCCUCGGUGAGCAAGGUCAGCUGGUUGCACGGCUCAGGGAUGAACGGCAAAGAGCUGCACGUGAGAAUGAACCGGGUGGUGCGUGAAGAAGCUGAAACGCAGCGUGUGUGCGGUCAAUGCCGUGGGUCCUGGCCGUUGGCGGGCCGAACACUCCGCCUUCCGCAGCCGAGGCCACCGGUGAUGGAAGUUCAAGUUUAGCCGUCCAAGAACCGUCCAGAACCCAGCCCUGCCUCACCACGGACGUGGUCUCGGCUCAUAGCCUCCACACGCACACAUGCAUGCACACAUGCACAUGGACACACACAUGCACAUGCACACGCACAUUCCCGCACACAUGCUGCUGGCCCCGGAGAGAGCUGCCCCAGCAGGGCGUGCCCCGUCCCGCCCCGGGUCCCUCCGCUUCUCACCCUGCCAUGCGAUCCUCGGAGAUUCUGUCUUCUCCGGUGCUUCCUGCUCACUUUUUCCUUAACGGGGAAGACAUGGGCUCUGCUUAGCACCCGGCCGGGAAUGAAAGUCCUUACGCUGAUGCUGUGUUGGCCCGAGCGAGCCAUCGAAGGCACAGUGGGGACACGCAAGAAGCUUGGUGCAAACACAACAACGUCCUGGGAACGUUCUGUCCCUGCAGGGACGGGAGCCCGGCCGCCCCUCUCGUCUUGACCGGGCAUCCGAGCGUGGCACUGGUUUAUAUAGCGGCAGCCGCGUCCCGGGACAGCUGUCGGGGCUCACGUUUCAGAAGAAUUGCCGCCGCCGAUAAGGUCCCCAACAGCACACGCUGGAGUCCCUGGCUGAGAAGAGCAAAAGGAUGCGAGCGGCUGUGGUCCUCCUGGCUGUCGCGCUGGUCCUGGCCUGCACUGGAGUCCUCUUCCCUUUCGUCUGGGGAGGCAAGGGACUCCGCUGGGCAGAGACCGAGGACGCCCGCGUCACCAGCGUCGU
This is a non-coding RNA of Microcebus murinus (gray mouse lemur), 990 nucleotides long. Lineage: Eukaryota; Metazoa; Chordata; Mammalia; Primates; Cheirogaleidae. The record is from RefSeq and is a predicted model, not a curated record.